GUCAAUUAAAUGUCUUUUCUUCAUAAAUUACCCAGUAUCAGGUAGUUCUUUAUAGCAUUGUGAGAAUGGACUAAGACAAUUGUGGAAUGUUGACAGCAUUGUCACCUCCUUCUUCUUGGGAUAAAUGCUGCAGCCACAAGUGCUACCAGUGAGUAUUCCCAGGGCAAAUGGGAAAAGGUUUUGAAGCAAAGCAUAAAAAUUAAUAUAAAAAAUUGAGAGUAUUGGGUAUUUAUUCCCUUAUAGAUUCGGGGUGCCACAAGGAAGAGUGGGAUAACUCAUUAGAGGGUUAGAGAAGGGUGAGGGAAUUAAAUUGGAGCAAGGCCUGUAUGAAGAGUUUUUGGGUUAGUUAGCUGGAGGGAAAUAGGGAAGCCAGCGCUGUAGCUGUGCAGGAAUCCAGGUAUAGAAUAGUGGCUCUAAGGAUGGACUGUUAUAAUAAGAAAAUGAACCAUAUAUUCAGCACUUACGAAGUGCUAGAACUGCACUGCACCAUCAUUUCAUACCUAAAACAAUCUUAGGAAAUAGGGAUGGCUAUUCUCCCUGCUAUUUAGCUUCAAUAGUGGGAUCUUAAGAGAUAUGACUAGUUUAAGGUAAAGAGCUUAAAGAUGCUUUUUAAUUGCUCUGGUGUAUUACCUUUAAAUCUAAACCUAAAAGGUAGAUUUGUAGACUCAUUGGACACUGAAAUAAUAGGAGUGUAACUGACAGAAUGAGAGCAGUCAGGAAGAACAGCUAAGUUUUGAAUGAGUGGCAGAGGGAGCUGAACACUGGGGCAGAGUGUGUGACAUUUUCAUCUGUGAGGAUCAUCUGGAAAGAGGGUUCAUUCCAGUGGAGAGAGGGGAGGACUGAGAGCCAGGAGUCAAGGGUUCCUAUCCUGUCCCCCAUCCCCAUCUAUCUAUCUAGGGAGCAAUGUUGUGACAAUCCCUUCUCCAAUGUGAGCUCUCUACUUCCUCUAAAUCUAGUAAGAUUAGUCUAGAUUGGUAGUUCACAUUUUCGAGUUAAAGAGCCAUCCAUGGUACACUAAUUUAUACAGUCAAUAAGGCUGAGGAAUGAGGCUAGGUGGGAAGGAGAGGGUGGAACUUUAUUAAUUGAUUCUGGUUUUCCCUCCUCAUUGCUUCACCAGCACCUCUCACCCACCCCCACCAGGGUGCCUUUCUUCUUGACAUCCAGCAAACAAACCACCCCAAACUCUCAAGGGGUCUUUUGACAGUUUAAAAAUCACUGGCUUAGCUUUGUCUCUUCUUCUCUCCCUGUAUGGCCCCUUCACAUCCCAACUCUUUUCUUUUUUAUUUUUCAAGAUAACCCCAAUUAUGAUCGUGCCCUUGUGACCACUGAGGGCACAGUGACCUACGAAUCUGGAUAUUUGCAUUUUGACUUUGUGUCUGGGAAGACUUUGUUCCCUGUAUCUCAUGAGAGCAGGGAGUUAACACUUAUGCUUUGAAUGCCUUCACUUCUUUUUGGGCCAUUGAGGCUAAAUAGCUCCAAUCGUGGAUCAAGGUGAUUUGGAUGAACAGUAACAACUAUUUUUUUUUUUUCUUAAUUUAUGUUGCUUCUAGGGUACCUCAUAGUAUCUGGAUGAAGACUGUUUACACACAUAUGUGCGCGCACACACACACAGCUCCCAGCUCCAAUUGGUAAAAAUAACGUUUACUAGGAAGGAGUGGAGUGUGAUGGCAGAGUAGGAUUCUCCAGUGAUUGUCCCUGAACAGAAAAAUUGAUUUGUAGCAAUUACCCAUACAGGAAAAAUCGUCACAAGAGCUAAAUAAACCAGGCAGUGUUCCCCACACUAGAGAUACAGAGUUGAAAAAGACACACAGGAUCCCUACUUUAUGAAGCUUACUUUCUUGUAGGCUCCAGAGAGAGUCAUCCUGAUGGAACCUACUGACCAGGAGGACACAAAAGAAAAGAGGGAAGAGAUGAAAGAAGAGAUUUCAAAAGACUCCUCAGCAUCGUGGAGAUACAUGAGAAGGCAAGAGUGAUCAGGACAGCCACUGUUUCCCUUUGGACCAUUCCUUCUUGAGGGUAACUGAAGAGGUCAAAUGGCUCACUUCUCAUUGUGGAUCAAAGCUAGUUUUAUCAUCAUGUUGGCAUUUUAUCUUUGUUCUGAUAUUGCAUUGUCUGAGUUGCCUGCUGUGUUGGCUGAGGUAAGUUACCUCUAAUUUUUGAGAAAGUAGAAAACAAUUUUUAAAAAGUUGUUAGUCAAAAACUAACUGUUAACAUGGAAAAUGUUCACAACAAAAAUUGUGUAUUACAACGUAAAACACUAGGUUAUUGCUUCUCCAGGAGAAGAUACAGCAAUGUCAGCAUUCCAGAAGUGUUUUUAUUUAUGCAGACAUUUCUCCUUAUUUACCAGCUCGGUGGUACUCUAUUUUGUAGAAUUCGAAGAGAUAAUUCAAUCUUUUAUAUUUCAGCAUUUAAAUUGUUUCCAAGAUUUUGCAAUUACAGGUCAUGUUUCAGUGAAUAAUCUGUGCAUAUAUAUUUGCAAAGUAAACUUCUAGCUGUGAGAAUGCUAGUAUGAAAUGUAAAAAUAUAGGUAAUUUUGUUAUACGUUUUACAAUAUUGGAAACAAUAUCCUCUUUAAGAGUGUUCCUAGUUUUUAUACCCAUUAACAAUGAGUGUCUUGAUCUCCAUAGUCUGUCACCAUAGUGGGCUGUCAAAAUUUUUCUGUUUAUUUGGAUACAUUUAUAUGUUACAUGCAUAGAUUGUGUAGUGGUGAAGCUAGGGCUUUUAGGCUAUCCUUUACACAAAUAAGGUACAUUGUACCCAUUAAGUCAUUUCUCAUCAUUCUUCCCCACUCCCUCACUCUUCCAUGUGUCUCUAUCUCUAUCCUUCCAUACUCUAUGUCCACAAGUAUACAUUAUUUAGCUGCUACUUAUAAGUGGGAACAUGUGGUAUUUGUCUUUCUUCAUUUGACUUUCAUGUAAGAUGGCCUCCAGUUCUAUCCAUGCAAA
Long non-coding RNA from Chlorocebus sabaeus (green monkey), 2945 nucleotides. RefSeq lists it as uncharacterized. The record is from RefSeq and is a predicted model, not a curated record. Lineage: Eukaryota; Metazoa; Chordata; Mammalia; Primates; Cercopithecidae.